This 253-nucleotide ribosomal RNA is filed under the name uncultured bacterium. RNAcentral describes it as "partial 16S ribosomal RNA". It matches the Rfam family "Bacterial small subunit ribosomal RNA", at positions 524 to 776 of the family's 1533-position model. The record is from RNAcentral.
UACGAAGGGGGCUAGCGUUGCUCGGAAUGACUGGGCGUAAAGCGCACGUAGGCGGACUUUUAAGUCAGGGGUGAAAUCCCGGGGCUCAACCCCGGAACUGCCUUUGAUACUGGAAGUCUUGAGUUCGAGAGAGGUGAGUGGAAUUGCGAGUGUAGAGGUGAAAUUCGUAGAUAUUCGCAGGAACACCAGUGGCGAAGGCGGCUCACUGGCUCGAUACUGACGCUGAGGUGCGAAAGCGUGGGGAGCAAACGGG